GACGCAGGACCCCGUAGGCUGCUGGGAGGAGUGUGGAUUGUCCUCUAAGUGGCAUGAGAAGCCAUUGAAGGGUUUUUUGGUUUUUUUUUUUUUUGAGACGGAGUCUCGCUGUCGCCCAGGCUAGAGUGCAGUGGCACAAUCUUGGCUCACUGCAACCUCCGCUACCCGGGUUCAAGUGAUUCUUCUGCCUCAGCUUCCCGAGUAGCUGAGAUUACAGGUGCCCUGCCACGACGCCCAGCUAAUUUUUGUAUUUUUAGUAGAGACUUCUUCACCAUGUUGGCCAGGCUGGUCUCGAACUCCUGACCUCAUGAUCUACCUGCCUCGGCCUCUUAAAGUGUUGGGAUUACAGGCGGCAUGAGCCACCCCGCCUGGCCCAUUGAAGGGUUUUGAGGUCUAAUGAGAGUAGCAGUCCCUGAUCUCAAGGAAGCUCUGUGGGGAGGAGGAUACUGCAAUAGUCCAAGCAGAAGGGUGAUCCGGACCAAGUUGGGGCCUGAAGUGGUUGAAGAGAGAUUUGAGACGACCUUACUAGAGGCCUCUGCCCCCCACCCAGCAGACAGUGUGCCCUACUGUACAGCUACCCAGUUCUGCAGCAAGAUUGCAGAGAUGGGAAGAAGAGUUGUAAGACACUGGGCUCUGAUAUCCACAGCUCCACCCCUUAGAUGGGGGAGGGACUUCUGUGUAGCAUGGGAAUGACGGACCUUUUCCAGGCUCAAGUAGCAGGCAGACAGUGGAUGGAGGCUGAGAGGCAGUGGGUGGUCAGGGGGAAUGUGGACACAGGAAAUGCAGGGCUGGAAGGGGGACACACACUUGGUAGUAGCUUAUUACAAAUAUGGAAGCAGGAAGGAUGGGAGGAGGGCAGACUGGUCCCUCUAGCAUGGGUCCCCCAUGUUCCCCCACAGCAUGCCUGGACCACCCCCACCCGCCUGCAGAAACACACAAUCACAUGUGUCUAGGAUUUAAAGUUAAAAUUUUGCUUGUCAGCUAGGCACAGUGGCUCAUGCCUGUAAUCCCAGUGCUUUGAGAGGCCACCCUCAGGGAGGAUUGCUUGAGCCCAGGAGUUCAAGACCAGCCUGUUUUCAACUCCGUGGACCCUGUGAGGCACACUUCACUCUCCCCAGCCCUCUGGAUAAAACAGUAGUUCCUUAGGAACUUUAACUUCCCCCAAAAUGCUGUGGCCUCCCAGGCAACAUAGCCAUACCCCAUCUCUACAAAUAAUAAUAAUAAUUAGCUUGUCCAACUGCCUAGCUAAGUCCAUCAAUUUCCUGAGCUCAGGGAGUACAACUACUUCUACUGUCAAUUCCUCAUCAAUUCCUCAUCUGCUUUUGGCCCCACACAUUUUUUAGACCAAAGCUCCGGCUGCUGGAGCAUUAUCUUGAAGUGACUGUAGACCCAAUACCAGGAUUCUGCCCUGUCUGUGUACUGCCAGAUCCAACCCAUGUGUCUUGGGGUGGCUAAAUCUGACAAAGGCCCUGAGUGUCUGGGGACACCUGUGAUCUCCUGCAAGGCUGAGGCUAAUGCCACGCUUUUGCAGCUCUUUGCAUGGGCACAUAUGUGAGAGAAUCAGAUAAAAGGUGUUCCCAAAAAGGAUGUUUGUGUUCAGGGUGGAACCUGACGCCUGCCUCCUGCCUUUGGGUCCUCCCUGAUGGCUGUGCCCUCUCAUACCUCGCAAAAGCAAAGAUAGGUAUCAGUGCUGCCUGUCGUCCUGACCUGUGCGGAGUGACGUUGGGAACAUUGUGGUGACCAACACAGCCCUAGCCCUUGCCCUCAGAGUUCCAGUUCAAGGCUGGGAGCAGUGGCUCAUGCCUGUAAUCCCAACACUUUGGGAGGCCGAGGCAGGUGGGUCACUUGAGGUCAGGAGUUCGCAACCAGCCUGGCCGACAUGGUGAAACCCCAACUCUACUAAAAAUACAAAAAUUAUCCGGGUGUGAUGGCAGGCACCUAUAAUCCCAGCUACCUGGGAGGCUGAGGCAGGAGAAUCACUUGAACCCGGGAGGCAGAGGUUGCAGUGAGCCAAGAUUGGGCCACUGUAGUCUAGCCUGGGCAACAGAGCGAGACUCCGUCCCAAAACAAACCAACAAAAAAGAGUUCUAUUUCCAGUGGAGGAAAUAGAUAAUCACAAAACAAUGGCAUCCCAGAGUGGUCGGGGAUGGGGAAAGAACAGGCAAGAAUGAUCAGGGCUUUUGCAGAAGCCCAGGGGACUCCCAGAGCCAGAGGGUUCUACACUUGAUCUUAGCCAAAAGGCCAAGAAGCAAUCUGAAGUUUCUAACUGGGCCUGGGAUGGGAGGUGGGGAGACAGUCCAAGAUUUCCUGAGGCAGGGCCAGCUUUAUGGCAGUGUGACUGUGGGGUUGCACCAUGCCCCAAACUUAGAAGUACCCUAUGCUUGCUUUAAUGCCCUAGUGUCACUAUCUUGAAAUUAAUAAUUUUUGAACAAGGGCCCCACAUUUUGAUUUUGCACUGCGCCCUGCAAAUUAUGUAGCCAGUCCUGCCCGGAGGAGCGAACACUUGAGGGAUUUACAGAGAGAGCCGAGGCAGAGAGGGUCUUCCCAGGAGAGAGAGCAUUGGGUACAAAAGCCAAGAGAGGGCCAGGCGCAGUGGCUCAUGCCUGUAAUCCCAGCACUUUGGGAGGCUGAAGCGGGCGAAUCACCUGAGGUCAGGAGUUCAAAACCAGCCUGGCAAACAUGGCGAAAACCCGUCUCUACUAAAAAUACAAAGAAUUACCUGGACGUGGUGUCAGGAACCUGUAAUCCCAGCUACUUGGGAGGCUGAGGCAGGAGAAUCGCUUGAACUUGGAAGGCAGAGGUUGCAGUGAGCCCAGAUCCUGCCACCGCACACUAGCCUGGGUGACAGAGUGAGAUUCCGUCUCAAAAAAAAAAAAAAAGAAAAAAGAGAGGACUGCACACUCAAAGAAUGAGCCAGAGUUCAGUGUGGCUGGCGCACCAUGGGAGAAGGGCGCACUGUGGGGCCAUGGAGGGUGGAGGGUGAUAAGGUGGAGGGACAGGGUCAGGUUUGCACUUUAGAAAAAUCCAUCUGGCAGCUGGGCGCAGUAACUCACACCUGUAAUCCCAGCACUUUGGGAG
RNAcentral lists this long non-coding RNA (3078 nucleotides) under Homo sapiens (human). RNAcentral describes it as "HSALNT0259032". The record is from RNAcentral. Lineage: Eukaryota; Metazoa; Chordata; Mammalia; Primates; Hominidae.